This 334-nucleotide ribosomal RNA is filed under the name uncultured Enterobacteriaceae bacterium. RNAcentral's name for it is "bacterial SSU rRNA". It matches the Rfam family "Bacterial small subunit ribosomal RNA", at positions 1048 to 1382 of the family's 1533-position model. The record is from RNAcentral. Lineage: Bacteria; Pseudomonadati; Pseudomonadota; Gammaproteobacteria; Enterobacterales; Enterobacteriaceae.
GCGUGUCGUCAGCUCGUGUUGUGAAAUGUUGGGUUAAGUCCCGCAACGAGCGCAACCCUUAUCCUUUGUUGCCAGCGGUCCGGCCGGGAACUCAAAGGAGACUGCCAGUGAUAAACUGGAGGAAGGUGGGAUGACGUCAAGUCAUCAUGGCCCUUACGACCAGGGCUACACACGUGCUACAAUGGCGCAUACAAAGAGAAGCGACCUCGCGAGAGCAAGCGGACCUCAUAAAGUGCGUCGUAGUCCGGAUUGGAGUCUGCAACUCGACUCCAUGAAGUCGGAAUCGCUAGUAAUCGUGGAUCAGAAUGCCACGGUGAAUACGUUCCCGGGCCUU